Molecule: ribosomal RNA, 253 nt
Filed under: uncultured bacterium
Lineage: Bacteria
Description: partial 16S ribosomal RNA
Rfam family: Bacterial small subunit ribosomal RNA
Source: RNAcentral
GACAGAGGUCCCGAGCGUUAGGCGGAAUCACUGGUCUUAAAGCGUGUGUAGGCGGCGGCCUAAGUACCUUGUGAAAUCCCACGGCUCACCCGUGGAACUGCUCGGUAUACUGGGUCGCUUGAGCCACUUAGGGGCUACCGGAACAAAUGGUGGAGCGGUGAAAUGCGUAGAUAUCAUUUGGAACGCCAAUGGUGAAAACAGGUAGCUGGGAGUGUGCUGACGCUGAGACACGAAAGCCAGGGGAGCAAACGGG